Molecule: long non-coding RNA, 1229 nt
Organism: Daktulosphaira vitifoliae (grape phylloxera)
Lineage: Eukaryota; Metazoa; Arthropoda; Insecta; Hemiptera; Phylloxeridae
Exons: 3
Source: RefSeq, a predicted model, not a curated record
AUAUUAAAAAUAUCGUGAAUACAUCAAUCUAUGAUUAAAUUUAAUAAAAAACGAGCAAAAUUGUUUGCUAUCUCCAAAACUAUGAGCGGAACUAAAGCAAAAAUAUUGGGUUACUGAAAUGAUAUGCUCACAAAGCCCUCCCUCUCGAAUAACUUUCCUUAAAUAAUUACCUACCAGAAAUAUUGUUAACAAAUAACAUAAAAUUUGGAACUGUUAUUUUACCCAACACUGCUGGUAGUGCCCACGGUGACUUCAUUGUACUUAUUCAUAAAAUGUACUUAUUUAAGAAAACUCAUUUUUUUAUUACAUAAAUUCAUAUUAUAAAAGUAUUAAUUAUUAAAAGUAUGAAGUAUUAAUUGACUCAGUUAAAUUUUAUUUAGCUUAGAAAUUAUUAUCACAUUUCAUAAUUAAUCUAAACGGUAGACUACUAUUACGAAGUGAAUCAAAGCAUUCCAUUAGUAAAUAGCACAUCGCAAAGAAAUUUUAUUUUUGGCGAUUUAAUGCUUUAUGUCGAGGAAAAAUUUAUUAAGACUAUAAAAAAAAAAAUGCCCGAGGAAUCAAGACAUCAAAACAAUCGUAAAGUGCGUCCCAAUGCCGCCUCGUUAGAAACUAUAGCAUGUCCAAAUAAACUCUCUGGCUUGAAAAGAAAAAAGUCUCAGACUUUGCAGGUCUAAAAAAUUAAAGAAAGAAAAAUGGUUCAGAACUCUACUUUCAAUAUGCGUAAAAAUCAACAAAUAGCAGUUGAUACUAACCGUGAUACAAGUUCUAACUUUACCAAAAAUAAAAAAUCACCAAUGGGAUACUUUAUUGAUGCACCUCAAGGCAAAUAAAUGGUUUAAAAAUUUCAUACAUAAUGACUUUAAAUGAUUUAAGCAGAUUUGGUACAAUUUCCAACCGUAGACAAGAGAAAGCAUCAGCUGUGGGACACUUUAUUGAUACGCCCCAAGGAAGACAAGUAAUUACCAUGCUCCCAAUUUCUUUAUAAUGAGUUUUGCAAAAUUCAUAGAUCUCACUCUUGAUGGUGAUGAUCACGUAGAAAUUUUGCAAUCAAUACUUUUGUAAUGAUUAUUUAAAUAGAAAUUUUUAUUUAGUAUUUUUUUUAGCACUUAUGUUUUUAUAAUUGUUAGCUAUUUGUAUUUCAAACAAAUGUAAUAAACUUCUUUUGUUUUAUUAAUUUUUGUACUUUAACAGAUAUAUAUCUUUAAUUUUUAACAUUACUAACAAUCUAC